Molecule: small RNA, 184 nt
Filed under: Streptomyces sp.
Lineage: Bacteria; Bacillati; Actinomycetota; Actinomycetes; Kitasatosporales; Streptomycetaceae
Description: c-di-AMP sequence
Rfam family: c-di-AMP riboswitch aptamer (ydaO/yuaA leader)
About the family: This family represents a conserved RNA structure found upstream of the ydaO and yuaA genes in Bacillus subtilis and related genes in other bacteria. The ydaO/yuaA element is thought to act as a genetic "off" switch for the ydaO and yuaA genes in its native state.
Source: RNAcentral
CGAGUCCUGCCGCCGUUCCGGACGACUGGUCGACAAGAGUGGACCGGCAGGAGUGGAGGACCCGAGUACUUCGGGAAGGCCGUACCCCGGCCGUCCCUCGGGGUGAAGCCGCAUGCGCGGCCGGGCGUCUUCGCCAGUCCGAACCCGACAGGUCAUCCUUCGCAGGCGGUUUGACGAAGGGUUG